Molecule: long non-coding RNA, 10127 nt
Filed under: Cucumis sativus (cucumber)
Lineage: Eukaryota; Viridiplantae; Streptophyta; Magnoliopsida; Cucurbitales; Cucurbitaceae
Description: long non-coding RNA (CSAT_LNC000188)
Source: RNAcentral
AAGGAUAGUCCUGAUACUACCUUUCUUUUGUUAUUGAAGUUUAUUGUUCCUUCUCUCUUGUUUGGUGGUUGUGCACCUAUAUUGAUUUGUACUUCUGUUAAUUAAUUAUAGUCUUCUCUCUUGUUUGAGUAAUUAUUGUCUACCAUUUUGUUAGCAAAGGCUUCCCAUGGAAAUUUAGUUUGUUGUGCUGCAUGUCCAAGAUGAUUUUCGUGAUUUUAGUUUUAGAUACAUAAAAGGGAUUUUGCAUCACAACAUGAAUGACUAUUUCUAAAUAUGAACCUACAAUAACCCCAAAUGAAUACCGGAUUAAAUUGGAAACAGGGCAGAUAGAGAGUGAGAUGGAGAGUGUUUGUGUGUGCUUUAGAGUAGUUUUAAGCACAUUUUUUAGAUUUGUUUAACACUAAGUUUGUUUCACUUGCACAAUUGGUUGCCAUUUUAGGUCUCAAAGUGCAUUUUCACUCAUUUUGAACUUUUUGUUAGUUUGUGAGUUACGAACUUACACUUAAGCACUGUUAGGUCGUUUCAAACACAUUUUGUGUUUGUUUGGAACUAAGCUUGUUUAGACAUUUGAUUGACAUGUUGGGUCUCCAAGUGCUUUUUUCCACACUUUUUGAAAUUUUGGUAGGUUGUGAGUCACGAACUUACGCUUGAGUAUUGUUUGGUCCGUUUGAAAGCUUAGACACAUUUUGAACUCUUUUUAAGAUAACUUGAAACUAAGUUCAUUGCACUUACAUACUUCGUUGCCGUUUUGGGUCUCGAAGUACCUUUUUCACACUUUUUGAAAUUUUGGUAGGUUGUGAGUUACAAACUUACCCUUAAGCAUUGUUUGGUUGUUUUGAAAAUUCAAGUGAUAGUUACACACGUUUUGAAUACAUUUUAGGUUAGAUUGAGUUUGUUGCACUUGGUUGUCAUUUUUGGUCUUGAAAUGCUUUUUUCAAACUUUUUGGUAGAUUAUGAGUUACGAACUUACACUUAGGAUUUGCUAAAUCGUUUUGAAAACUCAAGUAAUACAUAGACACGUUUUGAGCACGUUUUAGGUUGGUUUGAACUAAGUUUGUUGCACUUACACACUUGGUUGCCAUUUUGGGGAUUGUAGUGCUUUUUUCACAAUAUUUGAACUUUUUUCGUAGGUUAUGAGUUACGAUCCUACACGUAAGCUGUUUUAGGACAUUUUGAAAGUUCAAGUGAUACUUAGACACGUUUUAAACUCGGUUUAGGUUAGUUCGAAACUAAGUUUGUUGACCUUAUCCAAUUGGUUGCCAUUUUCGGUCUUGAAGUGCCCUUUUCACACUUUUUGAACUUUUUGGUAGGCUAUGGGUUACCAACUUACACUUAAACUUUGUUAGGUUGUUUUGAAAGUCCAAGUGAUACUUAGACACGCCUUGACCACUUUUUAGGUUGGUUUGGAACUAAGUUUGUUGCACUUGCGCACUUGGUUGCCAUUUUGGGUCGUGUAGUGUUUCCUUUUUUUCCAUACUUCUUGAACUUUUUGGUAGGUUAUGAGUGAUGAAUUUACAAAUAAACAUUCUUAGGUCGUUCUGAAAGUUCAAGUGAUACUUAAACACGGUUUGAAAUUUUUUUAGAUUUGUUUAAGACUAAGUUUGUUUCACUUGCAUACUUGGUUGCCAUUUUAGGUCUCAAAGUGCAUUUUUCACGCAUUUUGAUUUUUUUGUUAGUUUGUGAGUUACGAACUUACACUUAACGAUUGUUAGGUCGUUUUAAACACAUUUUGCGUUGGUUUGAAACUAAGUUUGUUGCACUUACACAUUGGAUUGAAAUGUUGGGUCUUGAAGUACUUUUUUUCACACUUUUUGAAAUUUUUUUAGGUUGUGAGUUACGAACUUACGCUUGAGUAUUGUUUGGUCGGUUUGAAAUCUUAGACACGUUUUGCACUCUUUUUAGGAUGGCUUGAAACUAAGUCCGUUGCACUUACAUACUUCGUUGCCAUUUUGGGUCUUGAAGUGCUUUUCUUACACUUUUUGAAAUUUUGGUAGGUUGUGAGUUACAAACUUACACUUAAGCAUUGUUUGGUGGUUUUGAAAGUUUAAGUGAUACGUACACAUGUUUUGAAUACAUUUUAGGUUAGAUUGAUUUUGUUGCACUUGGUUGUCAUUUUUGGUCUUGAAAUGCUUUUUUCAACCUUUUUGGUAGAUCAUUACGAACCUACAUUUAGGAUUUGCUAGGUCGUUUUGAAAACUCAAGUAAUACCUAGACACGUUUUGAGCACGUUCUAGGUUGGUUUGAACUAAGUUUGUUACAAUUACACACUUGGUAGCCAUUUUGGGUCUUGUAGUGCUUUUUUCACACUAUUUGAACUUUUUUCGUAGGUUAUGAGUUACGAAUCUCAACGUAAGCUGUUUUAGGUCGUUUUGAAAGUUCAAGUGAUACUUAGACACAUUUUGUUCAAGUGAUACUGUUUUAGGUCGUUUUGAAGUGAACUUUUUUCUUCUUGUAUUGACUGUUUUACUAUUUCUUCAUGGUUUGUAUUCAUGGUAUUUAGUUUCGUACUGAAUCUUUCAUGUUCUGGUAAACAUUGCAGAAACACAUAAUUUCAUCAAUCUGUCAAAGAGUUGAAGGAGAAGACAGAAGAACUUAAAGGUCACAUGAAGACCUAAAAGUUAGGUAAUUUUUUGAAAACUUUUUUCUUUGUCUUGCUUAGUUUUAGUGGUAUUUGUUAACAGGCUGAGACAUACUCUUGUAUGCCAAGGCUGGGUGGCCAAUUCAAUGGAUGGCCUGAGACGGUGAAAUGACGAGUGUAGACAAUCGAGCAGAUUUACAAGUAGGAGGAUGGUGUUUGGUCUUACUCAAAAGCUACUGCUAGAAAGGUGAUUCUCCCUUUAUUUACACAUGUUAUCUAUAUUUAAUUACUGUUUUUAUGUGAUGGUGAAUAAAUAUUUAAGUUGUUUCAAGUUUGUACAUCAUGCUUGAGUUAAUACAUUUCUCAACUCGCACUAAUUUUAAAGUUGAGACUAAGUUUGUUGCACUUACACACUUGGUUGCCAUUUUGGAUUUUGGAGUGCUUUUUCUACAUUUUUUGAACAUUUUGGUAGGUUAUGAUUUAUGAAGUAAGACUAAAGCAUUAUUAGGUCGUUUUUAAAGUUCGAGUGAUACUUAAACAUUUUUUGAACACCUUUUAGGUUGUUACAAACUAAGUUAGUUUUACAUACAGCCAUGGUUGCCAUUUUGAGUCUUGAAAGAUUUUUUUUCACACUUUUUGAAAUUUUUGGUAAGUUAUGAGUUAUAAACUUACACUUAAGCGUUGUUAGGUUGUUUGAAAACUUAUACGUGUUUUGAAUACUUGUUAGGUUUGUAUAGAACUAAGUUCGUUGCACUUACACACUUGACAUUUUGGGUUUUGGAGUGUCUUUUUAAAAAAUUUUGAACUUUUUGCUAGUUUAUGACUUAUGAACUUGUAUUGAAUAUUUGUUAGGUCGUUUUGAUAAUUCAAGUGAUACUUAGAAAAUGCAACCGAGCUUAAACAAUUCCGCUCAUUUUUCUAAAAUUUUUAGUUUAACCUAUUGAAUAAAAUUCGAUGGAAAUUCUUGUUUUCUUUUUGUAGGAAUAAAAGGAAAUGAAAUAUAACCAAACUUGGGAUCUUUGCAAACAAUCUUCCAUGAAGAAACUAGGCUACAAGUGGUUUGGGGUUUGGGUUUUUAGGGCUUAGGGCUUUUAGGGCUUUUUGGGCUUAUGGCUUAGGGCUUUUAGCGCUUUUAGGGCUUUUAGGGCGCUUAGGGCUUUUAGGUUUUAGGGCUUAGGGCUUUUAGGGCUUAUGGCUUUAGGGUUUAGGGUUUAGGGGUUUAGGGUUUAGGGCGCUUAGGGCUUUUAGGGAUUUUAGGGCGCUUAGGGAUUUUAGGUUUUAGGGCUUAGGGCUUUUAGGGAUUAUGGCUUAGGGCUUAGCGCUUUUAGGGCUUAGGGCUUAGGGCUUAGGGCUUUAAGGGCUUUAAGCGUAUUUAGGGAUAAGGGAUUUUAGGGCUUUUAGGGCAUUUAGGGCUUUUGGGGCUUUUAGGGCUUUUAGGGCUUAGGGCGUUUGGCUUAGGGCUUUUAGGGCUUAGGGAUUAGGGCUUGGGCUUUUAGGGCUCGGGCUUUGGGCUCUUUGGGCUUUUAGGACUUUUAGUGCUCUUAGGGCUUUUUGAGCGCUUAGGGCUUAUGACUUUUAAGGCUUAGGGCUUUGGGCUUUUAGGGCUUUUAGGGCUUUUAGGGCUUUUAGGGCUUUUAGGGCUUUUACGACUUUUAGGGCUUUUAGGGCGCUUAUGGCUUUUAGCUUUUAGGGCUUAGGGCUUAGGCUUUUAGGGCUUUUAGGGCUUGGGCUUUGGGCGUUUAGGGCUUUUAGGGCUUUUAGGACGCUUAGGGCUUUUAGGUUGUAGGGCUUAGGGCUUAUGGCUUUUAGGGCUUAGCGCUUAUGGCUUAGGGCUUUUACGGCUUUUACGACUUUUAGGGCUUUUACGGCUGAGGCCUUAGGGCUUAGGCCUUAGGGCUGAGGGCUCAGGGCUUAGGGCUUAGGGUUUAGGGUUUAGGGUUUAGGGCUUAGUUCUUGUGCUUUUAUUGCUUAGGGCUUAGGGCUUGUAGGGCUUAGGGCUUAUGGCUUAAGGCUUGGGUUUUUAGGGCUUGUGCUUUGGGCUUUUAGGGCGCUUAAGUCGUUUAUGGCUUUUAAGACGUUUAGGGCUUAGGGCUUUUAGGGCUUAGGGGUUUUGGCUUACGACUUAGGGCUUGGGAUUUUAGGGCUUAGGGCUUGGGCUUUGGCCUUUUAGGGCUUUUAGGACUUUUAGGGCUUUUACGGCGCUUAGGGCUUUUAGGUUUUAGGGCUUAGGGCUUUUAGGGCUUAUAGCUUUUAGGGUUUAGGGUUUUUAGAGUUUUUAGGGCUUUUAGGGCGCUUAGGGCUUGGGCUUUUAUGGCUUGGGCUUUGGGUUUUAGGGCUUAGGGAUUUUAGGGCUUAUGGUUUUUAGGGCUUAGGGCUUAGGGCUUUUAGGGCUUAGGGGUUUUGGCUUACGGCUUAGGGCUUGGGAUUUUAGGGCUUAGGGCUUGGGCUUUGGCCUUUUAGGGCUUUUAGGACUUUUAGGGCUUUUACGGCGCUUAGGGCUUUUAGGUUUUAGGGCUUAGGGCUUUUAGGGCUUACCGCUUAGGGCUUAGGGCUUUAGGCUUUUAAGGCGCUUGAGGGUUUUAGGGCGCUUAGGGCUUUUAGGGCUUAUAGCUUUUAGGGUUUAGGGUUUUUAGGGCUUUUAGGGCGCUUAGGGCUUAGGGCUUGGGCUUUUAGGGCGCUUAGGGCUUAGGGCUUGGGCUUUUAUGGCUUGGGCUUUUAGGGCUUGGGCUUAGGGUUUUAGGGCUUGGGGAUUUUAGGGCUUAUGGCUUUAGUGUUUAGGGUUUAGGGUUUAGGGUUUAGGGUUUAGGGCGCUUAGGACUUUUAGGGAUUUUAGGGCUCUUAGGGCUUUUAGGUUUUAAGGCUUAGGGCUUUUAGGGAUUAUGGCUAGUGCUUUUAGGGCUUAGGGCUUUUAGGGCUUUUAGGGCUUAGGGAUUUUAGGGCUUUUUGGGCUUAUGGCUUAGGGCUUUUAGCGCUUUUAGGGCUUUUAGGGCUCUUAGGGCUUUUAGGUUUUAGGGCUUAAGGCUUUUAGGGCUUAUGGCUUUAGGGUUUAGGGUUUAGGGCGCUUAGGGCUUUUAGGGAUUUUAGGUUUUAGGGCUUAGGGCUUUUAGGAAUUAUGGCUUAGGGCUUAGCGCUUUUAGGGCUUAGGGCUUAGGGCUUAGGGCUUUAAGGGCUUUAAGGGUAUUUAGGGAUAAGGGAUUUUAGGGCUUUUAGGGCUUUUAGGGCAUUUAGGGCUUUUGGGGCUUUUGGGGCUUUUAGGGGUUAGGGCGUUUGGCUUAGGGCUUAGGGAUUAGGGCUUGGGCUUUUAGGGCUCGCGCAUUGGGCUUUUAGGACUUUUAGUGCUCUUAGGGCUUUUUGUGCGCUUAGGGCUUAUGACUUUUAAGGCUUAGGGCUUUGGGCUUUUAGGGCUUUUAGGACUUUUAGGGCUUUUAGGGCGCUUAUGGCUUUUAGCUUUUAGGGCUUAGGGCUUUUUGGGCUUUUUGGGCUUUUAGGGCUUAGGGCUUAGGCCUUAGGCUUUUAGGGCUUUUAGGGCUUGGGCUUUGGGCGUUUAGGGCUUUUAGGGCUUUUAGGACGCUUAGGGCUUUUAGGUUGUAGGGCUUAGGGCUUUUAGGGCUUAUGGCUUUUAGGGCUUAGCGCUUAGGGCUUAGGGCUUUUACGACUUUUACGGCUUUUACGACUUUUACGGCUUUUAGGGCUUAGGCCUUAGGGCUUAGGGCUUAGGGCUUAGGGUUUAGGGUUUAGGGUUUAGGGCUGAGUUCUUGUGCUUUUAUUGCUUAGGGCUUAGGGCUUGUAGGGCUUAGGGCUUAUGGCUUAGGGCUUGGGCUUUUAGGGCUUGGGUUUUUAGGGCUUGGGCUUUUAGGACUUUUAGGGCUUUUACGGCGCUUAGGGCUUUUAGGUUUUAGGGCUUAGGGCUUAGGGCUUUUAAGGCUUAUAGCUUUUAGGGUUUAGGGUUUUUAGGGUUUUUAGGGCUUUUAGGGCGCUUAGGGCUUGGGCUUUUAUGGCUUGGGCUUUUAUGGCUUGGGCUUUGGGUUUUAGGCCUUAGGGAUUUUAGGGCUUAUGGUUUUUAGGGCUUAGGGCUUAGGGCUUUUAGGGCUUAGGGGUUUUGGCUUACGGCUUAGGGCUUGGGAUUUUAGGGCUUAGGGCUUGGGCUUUGGCCUUUUAGGGCUUUUAGGACUUUUAGGGCUUUUACGGCGCUUAGGGCUUUCAGGUUUUAGGGCUUAGGGCUUUAGGCUUUUAGGGCGCUUGAGGGUUUUAAGGCGCUUAGGGCUUUUAGGGCUUAUAGCUUUUAGGGUUUAGGGUUUUUAGGGCUUUUAGGGCGCUUAGGACUUUUAGGGAUUUUAGGGCUCUUAGGGCUUUUAGGUUUUAAGGCUUAUGGCUUUUAGGGAUUAUGGCUAAGUGCUUUUAGGGCUUAAUGCUUUUAGGAGGACUUAGGGCUUUUAGGGCUUUUAGGGCUUAGGGCUUUUGGUGCUUUUGGGGCUUUUAGGGCUUAGGGCCUUUGGCUUAGUGCUUAGGGAUUAUGGCUUGGGCUUUUAGGGCUCGGGCUUUGGGCUCUUAGGGCUUUUAGGGCGCUUAGGGCUUUUAGGUCUUUUAGGGAUUAGGGUUUGGGCUUUUAGGGCUUGUGCUUUGGGCUUUUGGGAUUUUAAGGUUUAGGGCUUGUGCUUUUAGGGCUUGGGCUUUGGGCUUUUAGGGCUUGGGCUUUGGGCUUUUAGGGCUUUUACAGCGUUUAGGGCGCUUAGGACUUAGGGCUUAGAGCUUUUAGGGUUGAGGGCUUAAGGCUUAGGGCUUUUAGGGCUUAGGGCUCAUUGAGGAACUAGAUUUAUCUAAUGAGUAUAGGUAAAAUGGUUUUUUAUAUUGGAUUUGAUCAAUGCAAUGAAUUGUUUCAUCAUAAGACCGAUCCCUAAUUAAAUUGAUGAUCCCCAUCCUAACGAAAUGAAUUUGAUUCAUACAUGUACACACACGAACUGAACAUAGAUACAUUCACCGAAUCGUUGAUAAAGCAAUUCUACUUGGCGAGGAAAAAAUUUUCAAUAACUUGUUGAUCCCUAUCCCCAAAUUUUAAAAUUUAUCGUUCUUGAAUUUCUUGGCUUAGUGUGAAAUCGAAAUAUACCUAACCUAAUCUUAACAAUGAGUUAAUCAAUGAGUGAAAGUAUGAGAAAUGGAGUUUAAUCCCGUUUAUAGCAUAUGACAGACCAAUCACUUCCCGAAGGGUACUAGCCUUCGUAUUAUUUAAAUAAAAAAAGAAUAUUUUUUUUGAAUAUUUAUUAUUUUUGUUUAUUUUAGACGUUUCUUCUAAUCACUACUAAUCACUAUUUUCAUUUUAUAUUCUAUAAUAAGUAAUAUAACUAUAUAUUCCAAUUUGCAAAUUUAUGUAUAUUAUUUAAAUUAAAUAAAUAAAUAAAAAGAAAUUAAAUAAAUAAAUAAAUAAUGCAAUUGAAUUUUAAAUAAAAGAAUUUCUUCCCCUACUUCUUCUCUAACGGCUCUCUCUCUACUUUCUCGUCCUCUCCCCUUCUCUUAUCUUCUUCGUCUUCCUCAAAAUCGCGAUUCACGGCCAUCUUCUUCUCCCGGUCCUAACAGCGCUGGAUUUCUCAACUGUCGAUCGGGUGACAAUCAUGCCUGCCUGCUUGACAAAGCCUUUUCGGUCUACCAAUAAAGGAAAAACGAUUGCUGGUGACACGAAGGCUGUGCUCGACGCUCUUUUUCCUAUUCCACUGCGCGUCGUGGUCUUUCCCUUGCUGGUUGGAUGACUACUAUGGACGAAGCGCACAAUUACUUCCAGUCUCUGGUCGAUAAGUACCCAAGGAAGGUAAAUUCCAGCUAAGAAAGUCGAGAGCUCCUUAGUUGAUCACAAAUCCUUCCAAAUUCUUUGUUCGUAGACUAAUUUGAAAUCCUUCCAAUAUGGAUCCAUGCUGUCUUUUAUAUCCAUAAGAUACCAAUUAGAUUGUGUUAAUUAUUGUUUAUAAGAAAAUAAGUUCAAUAGAAAAAAAUAUAUAUAGCAGAAGAAGCGCAUGAAUAAGAAAGAAACAAUAAGGAACAAUAAUUACUUCCUCCAGCCCUUCGCCAGCAUAUGGUUGAGGGAACAGCAUCACCAAACUUAUCCUCAAAAAUCAGUUUUCCAGACUUGAUAUUCCAUAGACGAAAUUUGCAGUCUUCUCCACCUAAAACCAGAAUAUAUUUGGUGCAAGCUCAUGUUACCAGGAACUCCGAGAUUUCUGAAUAUAAAGAAAUUGAGCAUGCACUGAAAUGAACUACCAGAUGUGACAAACGUCUCGGUGGGAUCAACUCCAAGCUGUACACGAGGUAUGGAAAACAUCUCCAAUUUACAGCAAGUUAAAGAAAAAAAAAGAAGAGAAAAACAGCAGUUAAAAAAAACUGGGCAUCUUGCUUCUUUCUUAUUGAAAGUUUGGCCGUUUCUUUCAAGUCAAAUUGACCACAAAAUGCUCAAAUGAGAUUCUUCAAUAGGAAUAUGUAAAAAAAAUAUAAUAUGUAAAAGAAUUUUUGUGAAACGUGGGAGAGAAGCGGUAACAUUAUCCUUCAAAAAAUUCAGGAGUAAAUAUUUAUGUGAAAGGACAUAUUAUUUGGCCAUUUGACCUUAUUUGUUAUUGAAUUAUUUGGUUGGAAAUGAUAAACUACACAUUAUUGUUUGCUUCAGUUGUGAUCUUGAUUAUGGGCUAUUUGGUAUUUUGCUUACAAACUGUAUAGUUAAUUAUCUGUUAGCUUUUGUUUUCCUGUCACAGCUUUAUGUUUAUGUGGCUCAUUGUAGCCGAAAGUUUUAUUUAUCAAUCUUAUUUUUCACAGCAUAAAUGAAACUGUGUUUGAAGAAUCAGGUGCUGCUACAUCAUUCAAGGAAAUUCGUCGUAGAGGUCCGUAAGUUUUUUCCUUUGGAGCUGUGAUACUAACCUGUUUGAAUAAAGGAAUCUGACUUGGUCUUUUCCUCUUUAACAUUAUGGAUUAGGUCUUUCUCUUUACCAGAUUUCGUAGCUGAACUUUAAGAAGCAAUCAAACCGGUGUUAACUUCUUAUAUAAAGGUUAGUGCUAACUGCUAAGCUUAUUUCUAAGAUGAAAGAUGCUUUUAUCCCCUCCCCAAAGAAUAUCAUUAUUAUUUAUGUUGUAUUUCUGCUAACUAAUUCUUGCAUAGCAUCUGGUUUGAUAAAUAAAGUAAAGUUUCUGACAUCGAGGUUUUCAAGUUGGAAUAUAUAUUUAUGUUUUAGGUAGAUUCCCAAACUUUGAAGAAACGCUGCAGUACUGAGGUAAUUGAACGUUGUAAGGCAGAGCAUUGGGCUUACCGGAGCCAAGGUAUCUUCUUCGAUAACAAGUAAGGAUAGUCCUGAUACUACCUUUCUUUUGUUAUUGAAAUUUAUUGUUCCUUUUGUUGGGUUGGUGGUUGUGCACCUAUAUUGAUUUGUACUUCUGUUAAUUAAUUAUAGUCAUUCUCUCUUGUCUGAGUAAUUAUUGUCAACCAUUUUGUUAACAAAGGCUUCCCAUGGAAAUUCAGUUUGUUGUGCUGCAUGUCCACGAUGAUUUUCGUGAUUUUAGUUUUAGAUGCAUAAAAAGG